RNAcentral lists this ribosomal RNA (194 nucleotides) under uncultured bacterium. RNAcentral's name for it is "partial 16S ribosomal RNA". It matches the Rfam family "Bacterial small subunit ribosomal RNA", at positions 338 to 523 of the family's 1533-position model. The record is from RNAcentral.
CCUACGGGAGGCAGCAGCCGCGGUAAUCUUGCGCAAUGGGCGAAAGCCUGACGCAGCAACACCGUGUGAGCGACGAAGGCCCUCGGGUCGUAAAGCUCUGUUGUUGGGGACGAAGGGCGAAGGGUUAAUAGCCCCUAGUCUGACGGUACCCUUCGAGGAAGCCCCGGCUAACUACGUGCCAGCAGCCGCGGAAU